Molecule: long non-coding RNA, 1357 nt
Organism: Patella vulgata (common limpet)
Lineage: Eukaryota; Metazoa; Mollusca; Gastropoda; Patellidae
Exons: 5
Source: RefSeq, a predicted model, not a curated record
CUGAAAUUUUCAACAAAUUACCUUUACAUUAUCUAGUUUAUAACUAUUAUAGCAAGAACUGUCGGCUCCUUAUCCAAUUUCCCAUAAUGUAUCUCUAAAAGAAAUAUAUUAUUGAACACAAAUAGUUGACAUAAGCUACAGAAUAUGUAUAAUUUCUGUGUAUGAUUAACAAAACUAAUAUUUUACUAAGAUUCAUCUAAGGCUGUCCAUUUAUUGGAGAACCAGUUAUAUUUACUCUGACGUGGAUAUAUUGCUGAAGUCUUGGUCUCAUGGAAGUGCCGGAACAAUAUCCGUUUGAUGAAGAGAAGUUAAUGACAGGAAAGACACGAUGCUACGGUGCCACCCUGCAAACUCCUCAAAACAAGAUUGUACAGGAUCUAACACCAACAGCGGUCAACAUUCAACCGAGCGAUAAUUUGUGUGUCGCAAUUUUAACUACAUUAUUUUGCUUUUUUCCUUUUGGUUUUUUGUCACUUUAUUAUUCUUGUAAGACCAGAAGUUACUACAGACAAGGGAAGUUGAGAAGAUCUAUUAAUGCCGCAAAACAUUCCCAAACCAUGGCUCAGUUCGCGUGCCUUGUUGGCUUAAUGGGUUGGUUUAGUGGUGUUAUCACACUUCUAAUAUAUAUAAAUCAUUUACUUUAAAAAGUGAAACAGGAAAUAUGCCGAUAAGAAUCUCUAUGAAAACUUAAAGAGUAGAAUGUUUACGAAAUAUAUUUUUAUAAACUUAAAAUAACAGAAUGUCAGUGCACUUGACAGAUAUUAACCCUCGACAGGAUGAAAAUGCGAAGGUGGUAAUCUUGAAUGCUGCAUCUUGUAAUAAUAUGCGUGUGUACGUGUGUACGUGUACCUGCGUACGUGUACCAGUGACUAUAAGUAUUAAGUCGCAAAUGUUGAUCGUUGUAUACCAUUUGUAAUCGAUGUGAUGGUGACAGUAGUAGUAUAGUGACUUCAAAUAUUUAUGUCUUAAAAUCUGUAAACUUUGUGGGCAAUGGUUAUUGUUCUUUAACUCUAGUUGAUUCUGGGCUGGAUAUGUGAACUUAACAUUGGCCGACUGUUUCUACUCUCGGUCCGAAUGCGUGAUCUUAACAUUCAUUGGGCAACUGGCUCCCGCCACGGUGAACUACCCUUCACUUUUCAAUGUAUAAGGGGGGUUUUACGUUCACUUCCAGUAAUAAAUAACUAUGAGAAAAUGGAUAUUUUAAGAGUAUAUUUGAUGAAGCUUUUAUUUAUUAUAUUAAUUAUAUUAAAGAACAUUAUGGGAGAUUAGAUAAAGAGCUGCAAGCAGUUCUCACUAUAAUAGUUAAAGGAGCUAAGUCAAAUAUUUGGGACCGAGAAAUUGACACAAAUGGGUCGCA